This is a long non-coding RNA of Xiphias gladius (swordfish), 1994 nucleotides long. RefSeq lists it as uncharacterized. The transcript is spliced from 5 exons. NCBI's taxonomy places the organism in Eukaryota, Metazoa, Chordata, Actinopteri, Istiophoriformes, Xiphiidae. The record is from RefSeq and is a predicted model, not a curated record.
CGAACAAGUGCUCGUAUUCACAGUCGGUACGCACGGAGCAACACGAACAUCACUUUGGAGUCCCCGUCUGUGGCACCUGAUCAAUUUUGAAAAGUGUUAGGUCCGGUGGGAAGUUAAAGGGCCUGGAGAAGCCCCUGAGGACCGUUCAACAGAAACCAUACCAGGGCCAGACAAUUCACAUCUGCUGCGAUGAGACCACAGAACCCAGUGUGAAAAUUCCUAUUGAUGAUCUCCAGUUCCUCAACUAGAGCUGGAGGCUUAAGUGGGUGACAGCAGGCUUCUCUUGAGUUUUCACAUUCUCAUGCGAUCAGAGUGCUCCAGUUAAACUCUUGCACAACUGUGGAAAAGACAGCAAUUGUUGCUGGGAGCGAGCAGAGAUGGGAGGGCUCCAACAUUCUUUGCAGGGCAAAGACCACAGCAAUGUAGUAUCAACAUGGACGGAGCUGCUGAGGAGUGGAGCACUGAGGGAGGACCAGCGAGGAGACAAACACAGUCAACUCGACAGAAGUGGUGUGGUGAAGAAGUUUGAACAUGGUAGUGCUGGGGAGAAACCCCUUGGCCUCUGACCCCUCUGCAGAGCCUGCAGCAUGUAAGAGCUAAGUGCAGAGUAUUCCCUUAGUCCCACCCAUCCUACUCUGAUGUAAAACUGGCAGGCAGAAAGAGAGAUGGAGAACAAUAGGCCUUGCUGUCUGCUGUUCCGAACAAUCUUUGUCAACAUGCCAGUCUUAACUCUCCCAGCCCUCUCUCCCAGCUCCCUGAGUGAUUAUUAGCAUGCAAACAUGGAUGACUGCACUCGUACGACACAGCUCAAGCUCAUGGAGACCAUCUUCCCAGUAAGGAGUGACAGCAUCAGUCAUUUCAACAAGUGCCUCAAAACAACACAAGUUUACGUUCAAGUGCUGUUUGUUUCCUCUUUCAAAUCAACAAUCAGCUGUUUUUGAUUGUUGCCAAACCUUAACUAUGUGUUCUAUGUGUUGUUCUAGAGGUCAUGGACAAACAACGUAUUAUGUUCUUUAAUUUGAAGGGGUUUUUUUUUUUGUUUUUGUUUUUUUGCAUGUAACCUGGUGUUAUUCCCCCGUCCUCACCUGUACACGAGCCUCCGUCAAGUCUGUCCUCAGUGCCAGCUGCUCGCGGGCAUAAACAUCUGGGUAGUGUGUCUUCUGGAAAACUUUCUCCAGCUCCUCCAGCUGAUAGCUGGUGAAUGUGGUGCGAUUGCGUCUCUUCUUGCCUUUGUUGCUCUCAGCCUCACUUUUGUCCAGAGGGCUGGAAAGAUCAGAGCCCGGUUGCUCGUUCGGUCCCUUUAUGCCGGGCUCCUUCAGGUUCAGGUAGCUGCCUUCCAUUCCAGGAGGGUCGACACUCGGGGGCAACUCAGACUCUGUCAGGCUGCUGUUGUCUUUUCCUGUAUGUAUGAAAUUAAGGAGACGGAAAGAAGCAUGAAAGAUUAUGAUCAAUAGUAUUUUGUUCUUUUAAAGGAGCACCCCACGAAUUUUACACAUGAAGUUCAGUUUACUCAUCAGGAGGUGUAAUACUCGCUUUAUGAAAACUGUUGCAUGUUUUCUGUGGCUCUGGAGGGACUGUAGUUUGAAAAAAUGCCUCAGCUUGUCCUCAAGUUUUCACUUUUUAUUAACAGAAAGGCUGCAUUACAAACUGACAAAUUGAAAGUGUGAGGUUUGAAAGAAUUGGGCCUAAUGAAAGCUGUGAGCUUGUUAUGUUAUGAGAAUUUUAGGAUCCAGGUCUUUUGGAGCUUGACUUUUGCUAGAAAAUAAAAGUCAGGACAUGUCAGCCUCUGUUUUUUCUAUUUUUACUGCUCUUUAAAGUUGUGUCUUUUGUUAAACCCUAACUUUAUACCUCAAUUUAUGUUGAGGUAUAACAUUAAAUGACUGGAGUACCUCUUUAAUUCUGUGAUGUGAAUUGACGACACUGCUCAAAAACUUAAUAAAACAAAAUGAAGAUUUUAAAGUUCAUAUGUUACACUGUGGUUAUAAUAAAAUACU